RNAcentral lists this ribosomal RNA (460 nucleotides) under uncultured bacterium. Its description in RNAcentral is "partial 16S ribosomal RNA". It matches the Rfam family "Bacterial small subunit ribosomal RNA", at positions 338 to 795 of the family's 1533-position model. The record is from RNAcentral.
CCUACGGGUGGCAGCAGUGAGGAAUAUUGGUCAAUGGGCGGGAGCCUGAACCAGCCAAGUCGCGUGAGGGAAGACGGUCCUCUGGAUUUUAAACCUCUUUAGCCGGGGAGCAAUGCCGGGCACGCGUGCCCGGAGGGAGAGUACCCGCAGAAUAAGCAUCGGCUAACUCCGUGCCAGCAGCCGCGGUAAUACGGAUGAUGCGAGCGUUAUCCGGAUUUAUUGGGUUUAAAGGGUGCGUAGGCGGAUUUUUAAGUCAGCGGGAAAAUGUCCGGGAGCAACCCGGGCCGGCCGUUGAAACUGGGGAUCUUGAGUGGGCGAGAAGGAUGCGGAAUGCGUGGUGUAGCGGUGAAAUGCAUAGAUAUCACGAAGAACUCCGAUUGCGAAGGCAGCAUACCGGAGCCCGACUGACGCUGAGGCACGAAAGCGUGGGGAGCGAACAGGAUUAGAUACCCCGGUAGUC